GAGUUUGAUCGUGGCUCAGAUUGAACGCUGGCGGCAUGCCUUACACAUGCAAGUCGAACGGUAACAGGUCUUCGGAUGCUGACGAGUGGCGAACGGGUGAGUAAUACAUCGGAACGUGCCCGAUCGUGGGGGAUAACGAGGCGAAAGACUUUGCUAAUACCGCAUACGAUCUACGGAUGAAAGCGGGGGAGUCUUCGGACCUCGCGCGGACGGAGCGGCCGAUGGCAGAUUAGGUAGUUGGUGGGAUAAAAGCUUACCAAGCCGACGAUCUGUAGCUGGUCUGAGAGGAUGAUCAGCCACACUGGGACUGAGACACGGCCCAGACUCCUACGGGAGGCAGCAGUGGGAAUUUUGGACAAUGGGCGAAAGCCUGACCCGGCCAUGCCGCGUGCAGGAUGAAGGCCUUCGGUUGU
RNAcentral lists this ribosomal RNA (413 nucleotides) under uncultured microorganism. Its description in RNAcentral is "bacterial SSU rRNA". It matches the Rfam family "Bacterial small subunit ribosomal RNA", at positions 9 to 426 of the family's 1533-position model. The record is from RNAcentral.